Chiloscyllium plagiosum (whitespotted bambooshark) is the source of this 541-nucleotide non-coding RNA. The record is from RefSeq and is a predicted model, not a curated record. NCBI's taxonomy places the organism in Eukaryota, Metazoa, Chordata, Chondrichthyes, Orectolobiformes, Hemiscylliidae.
AUUAAUCAGUUGCAUGAAUCUUUGUGAUCCUAGCUGGUAAUUUGCAUGAUCUCUUUAUGUUUUGACAGACCAGGAGCUUGUCCUUCCCACCAUCCGCAGUGCUGUUGAGAAACAGCUAAGUCUCAUUGCUGCAGGCAAAGCUGAUUUUCCACCAGUCCUAGAGCAUGCCCUAAAUAUCUUCAAGAGAAAAUUCCAUUAUUUUGUGGACUCCAUAGCUGGUAUGGAUGAAUUAAUGGAGGUGUCAUUUUCUCCAAUUGCUGAGACAGGGAAGCCUCUGUCCCGCUGUGGCAGAUGUCAUCGAUUCAUGAAGUACAUUCAGGCUAAACCCAGUCGGAUGCACUGUUCCCAUUGUGAUGAUACCUACAGCUUACCCCAGAAUGGGACCAUCAAACUGUACAAAGAGCUUCGCUGUCCCCUUGAUGAGUUUGAACUGGUUCUCUGGUCAUCUGGUUCCAAGGGAAAGAGUUAUCCACUGUGUCCAUAUUGCUACAAUCACCCACCAUUCCGUGAUAUGAGGAAAGGUAAGAUCUGUCAAAUACAA